Molecule: non-coding RNA, 44 nt
Filed under: Trichobilharzia regenti
Lineage: Eukaryota; Metazoa; Platyhelminthes; Trematoda; Strigeidida; Schistosomatidae
Source: RNAcentral
AGCAGCUGACGAGUCCCAAAUAGGACGAAAUGCGCAUCCUGGAU